GAUGAAGAACGCAGCGAAAUGCGAUACUUGGUGUGAAUUGCAGAAUCCCGUGAACCAUCGAGUCUUUGAACGCAAGUUGCGCCCGAAGCCAUUUGGUUGAGGGCACGUCUGCCUGGGCGUCACAUAUCGUUGCCCCCCCAUCUACUCCUUCGGGAUUGCGGGGGGCGGAUGAUGGCCUCCCGUGCGCCUCGUCGCGCGGUUGGCAUAAAUACCAAGUCCUCGGCGACGCACGCCACGACAAUCGGUGGUUGCGAAACCUCGGUUGCCCGUCGUGUGCGGUCGUCGCGCAUCGAGGGCUCGAAAAAAUUGCCGGGCUCCGGCUCGGCUUUCAACGCGACCCCAGGUCAGGCGGGGUUACCCGCUGAAUUUAAGCAUAUCAAUAAGCGGAGGA
This 391-nucleotide unclassified non-coding RNA is filed under the name soil metagenome. RNAcentral describes it as "partial contains 5.8S ribosomal RNA, internal transcribed spacer 2, and large subunit ribosomal RNA". The stretch from base 1 to 122 matches the Rfam family "5.8S ribosomal RNA", at positions 35 to 154 of the family's 154-position model. The record is from RNAcentral.